GACGAACGCUGGCGGCGUGCCUAAUACAUGCAAGUAGAACGCUGAAGAGAGGAGCUUGCUCUUCUUGGAUGAGUUGCGAACGGGUGAGUAACGCGUAGGUAACCUGCCUUGUAGCGGGGGAUAACUAUUGGAAACGAUAGCUAAUACCGCAUAACAAUGGAUGACACAUGUCAUUUAUUUGAAAGGGGCAAUUGCUCCACUACAAGAUGGACCUGCGUUGUAUUAGCUAGUAGGUGAGGUAAUGGCUCACCUAGGCGACGAUACAUAGCCGACCUGAGAGGGUGAUCGGCCACACUGGGACUGAGACACGGCCCAGACUCCUACGGGAGGCAGCAGUAGGGAAUCUUCGGCAAUGGGGGCAACCCUGACCGAGCAACGCCGCGUGAGUGAAGAAGGUUUUCGGAUCGUAAAGCUCUGUUGUAAGUCAAGAACGGGUGUGAGAGUGGAAAGUUCACACUGUGACGGUAGCUUACCAGAAAGGGACGGCUAACUACGUGCCAGCAGCCGCGGUAAUACGUAGGUCCCGAGCGUUGUCCGGAUUUAUUGGGCGUAAAGCGAGCGCAGGCGGUUUGAUAAGUCCGAAGUUAAAGGCUGUGGCUCAACCAUAGUUCGCUUUGGAAACUGUCAAACUUGAGUGCAGAAGGGGAGAGUGGAAUUCCAUGUGUAGCGGUGAAAUGCGUAGAUAUAUGGAGGAACACCGGUGGCGAAAGCGGCUCUCUGGUCUGUAACUGACGCUGAGGCUCGAAAGCGUGGGGAGCGAACAGGAUUAGAUACCCUGGUAGUCCACGCCGUAAACGAUGAGUGCUAGGUGUUGGAUCCUUUCCGGGAUUCAGUGCCGCAGCUAACGCAUUAAGCACUCCGCCUGGGGAGUACGACCGCAAGGUUGAAACUCAAAGGAAUUGACGGGGGCCCGCACAAGCGGUGGAGCAUGUGGUUUAAUUCGAAGCAACGCGAAGAACCUUACCAGGUCUUGACAUCCCGAUGCUAUUUCUAGAGAUAGAAAGUUACUUCGGUACAUCGGUGACAGGUGGUGCAUGGUUGUCGUCAGCUCGUGUCGUGAGAUGUUGGGUUAAGUCCCGCAACGAGCGCAACCCCUAUUGUUAGUUGCCAUCAUUCAGUUGGGCACUCUAGCGAGACUGCCGGUAAUAAACCGGAGGAAGGUGGGGAUGACGUCAAAUCAUCAUGCCCCUUAUGACCUGGGCUACACACGUGCUACAAUGGUUGGUACAACGAGUUGCGAGUCGGUGACGGCGAGCUAAUCUCUUAAAGCCAAUCUCAGUUCGGAUUGUAGGCUGCAACUCGCCUACAUGAAGUCGGAAUCGCUAGUAAUCGCGGAUCAGCACGCCGCGGUGAAUACGUUCCCGGGCCUUGUACACACCGCCCGUCACACCACGAGAGUUUGUAACACCCGAAGUCGGUGAGGUAACCUUUUGGAGCCAGCCGCCUAAGGUGGGACAGAUGAUUUGGGGUGAAGUCGUAACAAGGUAGCCGUAUCGGAAGG
This 1501-nucleotide ribosomal RNA is filed under the name uncultured bacterium. RNAcentral describes it as "bacterial SSU rRNA". It matches the Rfam family "Bacterial small subunit ribosomal RNA". The record is from RNAcentral.